This 219-nucleotide long non-coding RNA is filed under the name Musa acuminata (dwarf banana). RNAcentral's name for it is "long non-coding RNA (MACU_LNC011119)". Lineage: Eukaryota; Viridiplantae; Streptophyta; Magnoliopsida; Zingiberales; Musaceae. The record is from RNAcentral.
GAUUGCAAGAAGAUCCUACAGCGAUCGGAGGAAAUCUUUAGACACUAUGGAUUUGUAAAUCCGGACACCUAUUCUUUCCUUAAACCAUACGUUCAUCCCCUUUCUACUCCCACUGAUAGUUGUCUUAGUAACUCCAUGCUUAUGUUUCAUAUGACAUAACAGCAAAGUAACUUGCCAAUUCUGCAAUCCACGCAAUUAAUAUUACUUGUUGGUGCUUCU